UAAUUAAAUGGCCGCGGUAUUUUGACCGUGCAAAGGUAGCAUAAUCAUUAGUUUAUUAAUUGUGAACUUGUAUGAAUGGUUAAAUGAAAUAUUUACUGUCUCUAUUCUUUUAUUAGAAUUUGAAUUUUAAGUUAAAAUGCUUAGAUUUUUUUAUAGGACGAGAAGACCCUAUAGAUCUUUACUAAUUUAAUUUUUAGAUGGUUUGGUUAAAAUAUAUUUUUAUUUUAAGUUUAUUUUGUUGGGGUGACAGGGGGAGAAUAAAUAUCUCUCUUUUUUUUAUUACAAUUAUUUUUGUAUAUUUGACUUUUUUUUAUUGUUACAAGAUUUAGAUACCUUAGGGAUAACAGCGUAAUUUUUUUUGAGAGUUCCUAUUGACAGAGGAGAUUGCGACCUCGAUGUUGGAUUAAGAUUAUAAUUAGGUGUAGUGGCUUAAUUGUUAGGUCUGUUCGACCUUUAAAUUCUUACAUGAUCUGAGUC
This 477-nucleotide ribosomal RNA is filed under the name Stheneboea cf. tuberculata SB0465. Its description in RNAcentral is "partial large subunit ribosomal RNA". It matches the Rfam family "Bacterial large subunit ribosomal RNA", at positions 1920 to 2611 of the family's 2925-position model. The record is from RNAcentral. Lineage: Eukaryota; Metazoa; Arthropoda; Insecta; Phasmatodea; Lonchodidae.